CCCUUAGAUGUUCUGGGCCGCACGCGCGCUACACUGACGAAUGCAACGAGCUUAUAACCUUGGCCGAAAGGUCUGGGUAAUCUCCAAAUUUCGUCGUGAUGGGGAUAGAUUAUUGCAAUUAUUAAUCUUCAACGAGGAAUGCCUAGUAAGCGCAAGUCAUCAGCUUGCGUUGAUUACGUCCCCGCCCUUUGUACACACCGCCCGUCGCUCCUACCGAUUGAAUGGUCCGGUGAAGCGUUCGGACCGUGGCCUUUGGACGGUUCGCCGUCUGUUGGCUGCGGGAAGUUCGUUAAACCUUAUCAUUUAGAGGAAGGAGAANUCGUANCA
RNAcentral lists this ribosomal RNA (327 nucleotides) under uncultured eukaryote. RNAcentral's name for it is "partial 18S ribosomal RNA". It matches the Rfam family "Eukaryotic small subunit ribosomal RNA", at positions 1470 to 1796 of the family's 1831-position model. The record is from RNAcentral.